RNAcentral lists this non-coding RNA (173 nucleotides) under uncultured Cytobacillus sp. RNAcentral describes it as "Lysine riboswitch". It matches the Rfam family "Lysine riboswitch aptamer". From Rfam's summary of the family: Riboswitches are metabolite binding domains within certain messenger RNAs that serve as precision sensors for their corresponding targets. Allosteric rearrangement of mRNA structure is mediated by ligand binding, and this results in modulation of gene expression. The record is from RNAcentral. Lineage: Bacteria; Bacillati; Bacillota; Bacilli; Caryophanales; Bacillaceae.
GGGGUAGAGGCGCGGUAUUUAACAGUCUUUAGUAGAGUGAUAAGGCAUGAUGAGACUAAAGAGAAGGAAAUAUCGCCGAAAUGUGCUAUAUCCGAUUGUAUAGCAUGUUGGGUCUGCAGUGAAUAAUUGCAGGACUGUCUUAAUAAGCUUACCCGGUUUAUUAAGGUGCACUA